GUCCCUCCCACCGGCGGCGGCGGCGGCGGCGGCAGGUACAGUGAGCCCAGCCGGUACCUCCGGAGUUAACUCCUCCCCUGCCGGCCCGCAGCCCGGGGACCUAGGACGCCGGCUCUCCAGCCAGGAGAGGACGGCACGCGGGGGCGGAGUAGCUCUUGGAGAGGAAGGGAGAGGGUGGUGGCCAGGGGAUACGGACCCUACCGUUUCCACCUCUUUUGCAGGGCGCCCGUUCCCCGGGAGCGGGCAGCAAGAAUCGGCUGCCCUGCCCCCAACUCAGGAGUCCUGGAAUUAAGAAAGAUCCUUUUUUUAAAAAACCCAUUCUAAGAGCCAAAACCUGUGCUGAGGGAAGUCCUUCUGGGUGUCUAGCCUGCACUCCUUUUGUUAUGAUGUCUGCUCCUUCCCUCUUCUACUUUACUUGGAGGGGCUGAGAUAAUCCCUGGACCUUCUCGGUCCAGCCACUGUGACAGGAAGUAUUUGGCUGGGCCCCUGGGCUGAAAAGGCUGUUAGGGGCCAGGCUAGAUUCUGGGGCCGGGGGCAGGUCCUGAGAAGCUGGAGAGUGAGGGGAGCAAGGCCUUCCUGGAGCCUGUCCCUUCAUUAUUCACUACUUACCCUCUCUAUGCCACAGGGGUCACCAGGCCGAGAGUGGCUCCUGUCCCAGUGGGGUCUCUGCAAACCUCCAGGGCAAGGAGGAAGAACACGACCCUGAUCUGAGAUUCCCAAAGAUGGGGGCCCAUCCUCCAUCACCCCCACUCCAUAUCUUCAGGUCUCCCUCCUGGAAUUCCAGGGUCCCUUUAGUCUGUAGAAAAAUGAAAGGUCAAGUCCUGGCAUCCCUUGGAGGCUAUGAAGGUGAGGAGGCACCCCAUCAUUUGAAGUGGUCCCAGCUUGGGCUGGGCCCAAGGAGCACGGUGGGUGGGCACUCUGCUCUGUGGCCCUCCAAGGCCCAGCUUGGUCCCGUGGCUGCAACCCCGGCACGCACCCAGCCUCCUCCCCCACCAUCUGCCAGGCGGGUGCGCGGGGAAUGCAGAUGAAUCUUAAUAUCAGCCUGGGCCAAGUGCGAUGAGGGAGACAGAUUCUGCAAAACCCAGACAGCAUCACAGAGCCCCCUGCAUUUCCAGGCACCCUGGGCCAUACCAAGAUGCAACAGCUCUUUCUUGGUGUUGGUGGGGGGUGGGGUGGGUGGUGGCGUGCAUGUCUAGUCAAAGACCCCCCCAAAGCCGGGGAGGCAGGAACAGGCAAAUCUUUGUUUGGCCUCUAAGCCUCUGGUCUGGCUGGGAGGGAGAAGCUGUUGGCCUGAGUGUGGGCAGCUGGUUCCGGCGCUCAGCUAGGCAGGGGCGUAGCUGGGCCCACUCCUUGUCUGGUUUCCAGAAGGUCCUGUCCCUAGGAGAGCUGUGUGGCCCAGCAGAAAGAGCACAGGUUUUCAGGCCAGACAGUCCCAGAUUCUGUUCCAGACCUGGCUGUGUGACCUUGGGCAGGUUACUUUGGUUCUCUGAUGUCCGUUUCCUGAUCUGUUCUUGCAAGAACCAAAUGAGACAAAAUGUGCAAACAAAGCGCAGGCACAAUGGCUGGUGGGCAGUCGUAGGAGUGCAGUAAACGGAAGUUCUCGCUCCUCCACUUCCCACACAUUUGCUCCGGCUGCUCCUCCUGCCAGGCUUGCCCUUACUCCCCUCUUGGUCAUUUCUGGCUCUCACUUUGUUCAAGUUUCCCCUCCGCAUUUAUCCAUCACCCACUGGCCGAGCCUGUCCGCCGUGCCAGGCGCCAGGCCAGGGGUUGAGAUAGAGAUGAAUGGGACACCCUCCCUGCCCUCAAGGAUCUCAUCGGCAAGUGUGGAACAGAGACAUGAAAAUCGAUAAUUGUAACUCAGUAUGGCCCCCUCCUGGGUGUGGAUAAUUUGGAAUCAGUUAAAAGGGAGUCUUGAUGCGUGGAUUUGGGUCCCCAAACUGCCACCUCCUUUGGCUCUUUCCUGACCCUGAAGAGAACCUGACCCGGAUGUACCAAGACCUUGCCGGAAGCCUCUAGCCAGAGCAGCUGGCCCUGGACUCCCACUGGGACACUGACUGGGAGAUUCUUAGAGCACUGAACGAUUGGCCCUCCACCUUCCCAGCGGCUCUUUGGGAAAAGAUGCCCAUUGCAUGAAGCGGGGCCUCUCAAGGAGGAGCCCCAGGUCACCUGUUGCAACAGAAUCGCCUGGGAGCUCCAAGGCCCAGCCCCAACCCAUACCCAAUGAGUCUGAAUCUCCAGGAGGUGCCCAGACAUCUGCACAUCCAGCAGGUUCCCAGCUUCACAUUGUAAGGCUCCACCUCUUUCCACCCCCAGGAUCUUCAGGGGCACAGUAAAGUGUCCACCAUGAGCUGCCUUCACCCCAGCCCUUGGGACCAUGUGGGGACCGGGUGGGAACUCUGGGCUCCUGUGACACUCAGACCAAGCCCCUCACAUUGCAGGGGCCCUGCUCAGCAUCCUGGAGGGGAGCAACCCUUCUGGGACCAGGAAAACCCAAUUUUGUCCUCCAUUUCUGUUCCUCCUGGGGGCUGUGAACCUCAGGCAGGGUCCCUCGGUCUGGGUCCCGUAUGAACUCCUCUUCACCUUUCUGGCCAGGUUAUCAGAAUGGGCAGGGUUGUAAGUGGUUCAGAGUUUGAGCUCUGGGGUCAGGCGGAGCCGAGUUCAGCCUUGGCACAUUCCCCUGCACCAGCCCGUGCCCUGGGGUGAACCCCUGGGCUCCCUUGGCCUCUUCUCAGCUCCUCACUGUGUCCCACCCCUCUGCCAUCUCCUCUUCUCCCCUCCAGCUAUGGGACGAUCUGUCCCGAGUUCACUUUCUUCUUUUCUAUUUCCUACUCCCAUGUCCCCAAACACAUCCCGCCCUACAGUUCCCCACCUCCAGGCCCUGCACGGGCCCUUUGCUCUGUUUGGCAUGCUCCUGCCCUCCUGCAUCCUGGCAGUCUAAACUUUAAGUGAGACCUGCAUGGAGCAGGGAGACUGGCCAGAAGUCUUAAUUAACUUCAAAAUUUAAAGCUGGAAGAGAGGGAUAUGAUUUGGCUCUGUGUCCCCACCCAAAUCUGAUGUCGAAUUGUAAUUCCCAAUGUUGGGGGAGGGACCUGGUGGGAGGUGAUUGGAUCGUGGGGGCAGAUUCCCCCCCUUCGUGUUCUUGUGAUAGUGAGUGAGUUCUCAUGAGAUCUGUUUGCUUAAAAGUGUGUAGCAUCUCCCCCUUUGCUCUCUCUCUCCUGCUGCUAUGUGAAGAUGUGGUUGCUUCCCCUUCACCUACCACCAUGGUUAUGUUUCCUGAGGCCUCCCAGCCAUGCUUCCUGCAUAGCCUGUGGAACUGUGAGUCAAUUAAAUCUGUUUUCUUCAUAAAUUACCCAGCCUCAGGUAGUUCUUUAUGGUAGUGUGAGAACAGACUAACACAGAGAGUUUUAAAUUCUUUAGUUGUAGGCCUUUGCCCAGGAUGGAGUAGCAGGGACUGUAUUUCCUUCCCCUUCAAAACUUUCAGACAGCUGGAGAGGAUAUAUGGAACAUCAGUUUCAAGGUACUGGACAUCAGGCAAUGAAGGAAAGAAAUU
This 3550-nucleotide long non-coding RNA is filed under the name Homo sapiens (human). RNAcentral's name for it is "HSALNT0390522". The record is from RNAcentral. Lineage: Eukaryota; Metazoa; Chordata; Mammalia; Primates; Hominidae.